RNAcentral lists this ribosomal RNA (253 nucleotides) under uncultured bacterium. RNAcentral's name for it is "partial 16S ribosomal RNA". It matches the Rfam family "Bacterial small subunit ribosomal RNA", at positions 524 to 776 of the family's 1533-position model. The record is from RNAcentral.
UACGGAGGGUGCAAGCGUUAUCCGGAUUCACUGGGUUUAAAGGGUGCGUAGGCGGCUUAAUAAGUCAUUGGUGAAAGCUCGCAGCUUAACUGUGAAACUGCCAAUGAAACUGUUUAGCUUGAAUCUGGUUGAAGUGGGCGGAAUAUAACAUGUAGCGGUGAAAUGCUUAGAUAUGUUAUAGAACACCGAUUGCGAAGGCAGCUCACUAAGCCAACAUUGACGCUGAGGCACGAAAGCGUGGGUAGCGAACAGG